This is a long non-coding RNA of Musa acuminata AAA Group (dessert banana), 316 nucleotides long. RefSeq lists it as uncharacterized. The record is from RefSeq and is a predicted model, not a curated record. Lineage: Eukaryota; Viridiplantae; Streptophyta; Magnoliopsida; Zingiberales; Musaceae. The transcript is spliced from 3 exons.
GCCGUGAAUCCGACGCGCGUGCAUAAAUCUAUCUUCCUGUUUUGCCUUUCUCGUGUCGCUAGCGGGCCUUCGAUUUGCUUCGUCGGGCAAGCAUUAUCGUUGCGAAUCUCCUCCACCUCCUCCUUUGGAUCGUCGACUAUUUCAAAAGAGGGAACAGGAAUAAGAGAGGUAUUGGUUUGCUAAUCCUACAUGGCUUUGGGGAUCAGCAGGUAUCUGUUUUUGCCUCUCAUCAGUGACCUAAUACUCUAUUUAGAUUUGCUAAGGUGGAGGUACUGGAUUCUCUAUUGGUCAUACUGCAGACCUGACUGAAGCUGAC